RNAcentral lists this transfer RNA (71 nucleotides) under Allocyttus niger (black oreo). Its description in RNAcentral is "tRNA-Asp". It matches the Rfam family "tRNA". Rfam says of the family: Transfer RNA (tRNA) molecules are approximately 80 nucleotides in length. Their secondary structure includes four short double-helical elements and three loops (D, anti-codon, and T loops). Lineage: Eukaryota; Metazoa; Chordata; Actinopteri; Zeiformes; Oreosomatidae. The record is from RNAcentral.
AAGAUGCUAGUAAAAUGCCAUUACAUUGCUUUGUCAAGGCAAAAAUGUGGGUUUGAGUCCCACGUAUCUUA